GUUUCGAUGUAGGGGGACCAGUGUUGCUGGUUGAGAUCAUAUCCGUAAGAUAUAGACCCUUGGAACCUGAUCUGGCUUAAACCAGCGUAGGGAACAUAUAGAAGUGAAUG
Molecule: non-coding RNA, 110 nt
Filed under: Oceanobacillus picturae
Lineage: Bacteria; Bacillati; Bacillota; Bacilli; Caryophanales; Bacillaceae
Description: TPP sequence
Rfam family: TPP riboswitch aptamer (THI element)
About the family: Vitamin B(1) in its active form thiamin pyrophosphate (TPP) is an essential coenzyme that is synthesised by coupling of pyrimidine and thiazole moieties in bacteria. The previously detected thiamin-regulatory element, thi box was extended, resulting in a new, highly conserved RNA secondary structure, the THI element, which is widely distributed in eubacteria and also occurs in some archaea.
Source: Rfam by way of RNAcentral